GUGGGGAAUUUUGGACAAUGGGCGCAAGCCUGAUCCAGCCAUGCCGCGUGUCUGAAGAAGGCCUUCGGGUUGUAAAGGACUUUUGUCAGGGAAGAAAAGGCUGUUGCUAAUAUCGACAGCUGAUGACGGUACCUGAAGAAUAAGCACCGGCUAACUACGUGCCAGCAGCCGCGGUAAUACGUAGGGUGCGAGCGUUAAUCGGAAUUACUGGGCGUAAAGCGAGCGCAGACGGUUACUUAAGCAGGAUGUGAAAUCCCCGGGCUCAACCUGGGAACUGCGUUCUGAACUGGGUGACUAGAGUGUGUCAGAGGGAGGUAGAAUUCCACGUGUAGCAGUGAAAUGCGUAGAGAUGUGGAGGAAUACCGAUGGCGAAGGCAGCCUCCUGGGAUAACACUGACGUUCAUGCUCGAAAGCGUGGGUAGCAAACAGGAUUAGAUACCCUGGUAGUCCACGCCCUAAACGAUGUCAAUUAGCUGUUGGGCAACUUGAUUGCUUAGUAGCGUAGCUAACGCGUGAAAUUGACCGCCUGGGGAGUACGGUCGCAAGAUUA
RNAcentral lists this ribosomal RNA (550 nucleotides) under uncultured bacterium. Its description in RNAcentral is "bacterial SSU rRNA". It matches the Rfam family "Bacterial small subunit ribosomal RNA", at positions 354 to 896 of the family's 1533-position model. The record is from RNAcentral.